CAACAGGGAUUGCCUUAGUAACUGCGAGUGAAAGCGGCAAAAGCUCAAAUUUGAAAUCUGGCGUCUUCGGCNUCCNANUUNUAAUUUNNANGGAUAUCUGCGGAGUUGGCGCCGNCCUAAGUUCCUUGGAACANGACNUCAUANAGGGUGAGAAUCCCGUGCCUGGAUGGCUGUCCAUCUCCAUGUGAAGUGUCUCCGACGAGUCGAGUUGUUUGGGAAUGCAGCUCAAAAUGGGUGGUAAAUUUCAUCUAAAGCUAAAUAUUGGCGAAAGACCGAUAGCGCACAAGUAGAGUGAUCGAAAGAUGAAAAGCACUUUGAAAAGAGAGUUAAAAAGUACGUGAAAUUGUUGAAAGGGAAGCGCUUGAGACCAGACUCAAUCUUUGGUGAUCAGCUGUGCUUCUGUACAGUGCACUUGCCAUUGAUUGGGCCAGCAUCGGUUCUGACGGUGGGAUAAAAUUUGAGGAAUGUGGCUCUCUUCGGGGAGUGUUAUANCCUCGAUCAUAAUGCUGCCAGUUGGGACCGAAGACCGCGCUUCGGCUANGAUGCUGGCGUAAUGGUCU
RNAcentral lists this ribosomal RNA (560 nucleotides) under Aleuria aurantia (orange peel mushroom). RNAcentral describes it as "partial large subunit ribosomal RNA". It matches the Rfam family "Eukaryotic large subunit ribosomal RNA", at positions 66 to 640 of the family's 3401-position model. Lineage: Eukaryota; Fungi; Ascomycota; Pezizomycetes; Pezizales; Pyronemataceae. The record is from RNAcentral.